GCACUGGUGAAAAGUCCCACAAUAGGACGAAACGGCCGUCCAGUGC
Molecule: non-coding RNA, 46 nt
Organism: Schistosoma mansoni
Lineage: Eukaryota; Metazoa; Platyhelminthes; Trematoda; Strigeidida; Schistosomatidae
Source: Rfam